UACGGGGGGGGCAAGCGUUGUUCGGAAUUACUGGGCGUAAAGGGCUCGUAGGCGGCCAACUAAGUCAGACGUGAAAUCCCUCGGCUUAACCGGGGAACUGCGUCUGAUACUGGAUGGCUAGAGGUUGGGAGAGGGAUGCGGAAUUCCAGGUGUAGCGGUGAAAUGCGUAGAUAUCAGGAGGAACACCGGUGGCGAAGGCGGCUACCUGGACAGAAACUGACGCUGAGGCGCGAAAGCUAGGGGAGCAAACAGG
RNAcentral lists this ribosomal RNA (253 nucleotides) under uncultured bacterium. Its description in RNAcentral is "partial 16S ribosomal RNA". It matches the Rfam family "Bacterial small subunit ribosomal RNA", at positions 524 to 776 of the family's 1533-position model. The record is from RNAcentral.